CGGCCUCAAGUAGGUUGGCUGGAAUGGAGCUGCGCACACAGCCGUGUGGACAGCACGGCCUUGGGAGCAGCCCUCACUCAGAGCAGCGCACUGGCCGACCUGUUUACUGAAAGGCCAGGAGAACUUUCGGGACCAGAAGUCUCAGCAACGCCCAAUCUCAUUGCCCACGACAGCCAAGAAUCACAGAUUCAAAUGCUCCGUGAAGGCGGCAGGACGAUGGGUGCAGAGGGAAGGUGCCGAAGGAGCAGAGGCUGCAGGAGAGUGAACUGAAAGCAUUUCUGCCCCCACAUGAAAAGGCAUGGCCCAGGAAGAGUUUAAGACAUAUGCUCAUGGUUGGGAGCUCAUGCAUGCCUGAGCUGGCACUUGAACCCAGAUCUGCCUUGACGUCACCAUGGCAUGGACACAGCGUGGCACAGCCUUCCAGGACUGUGGGGUCCCUGAAGCUUGAAGAAGUUACGUGCAUGAGAAAUAAAUGGAGCCCCCUCUCUCCUAAGGAGCGGUGAAGGAGAAAAACAAGAGUAGCUUAAAAAAUGCUCAGGGCGUGAUCCUGGAGACCCAGGAUCGAGUCCCACAUUGGGCUCCCUGCAUGGAACCUGCUUCUCCCUCUGCCUG
Canis lupus familiaris (dog) is the source of this 612-nucleotide long non-coding RNA. RefSeq lists it as uncharacterized. The record is from RefSeq and is a predicted model, not a curated record. Lineage: Eukaryota; Metazoa; Chordata; Mammalia; Carnivora; Canidae. The transcript is spliced from 3 exons.